Molecule: unclassified non-coding RNA, 390 nt
Filed under: soil metagenome
Description: partial contains 5.8S ribosomal RNA, internal transcribed spacer 2, and large subunit ribosomal RNA
Rfam family: 5.8S ribosomal RNA (bases 1-122)
Source: RNAcentral
GAUGAAGAACGUAGCGAAAUGCGAUACUUGGUGUGAAUUGCAGAAUCCCGCGAAUCAUCGAGUUUUUGAACGCAAGUUGCGCCCAAAGCCAUUCGGCCGAGGGCACGUCUGCCUGGGUGUCACGCAUCGUUGCCCCCCCAAACUCCGGUUCGGGCGGGGCGGAAGUUGGCCUCCCGUGCGUGCCUGCGCGCGCGGUUAGCCCAAAAGCGAGUCCUCGGCGACGAGCGCCACGACAAUCGGUGGUUUUUUUACCCUCGUUCCUCGUCGUGCGUGUCCCGUCGCCCGAACGCGCUCUUGUGACCCUCACGCGUCGCCUCGGCGGCGCUCCCAACGCGACCACAGGUCAGGCGGGACUACCCGCUGAGUUUAAGCAUAUCAAUAAGCGGAGGA